This is a non-coding RNA of Bos taurus (domestic cattle), 73 nucleotides long. Lineage: Eukaryota; Metazoa; Chordata; Mammalia; Artiodactyla; Bovidae. The record is from Rfam.
UCCCUGGUGGUCCAGUGGUUGGGACUCUGUGCUUCCACUGCAGGGGGCACAGGUUUAAUCCCUGGUUGGGGAA